GAUGAACGCUGGCGGCGUGCCUAAUACAUGCAAGUCGAGCGAACAGACGAGGAGCUUGCUCCUCUGACGUUAGCGGCGGACGGGUGAGUAACACGUGGAUAACCUACCUAUAAGACUGGGAUAACUUCGGGAAACCGGAGCUAAUACCGGAUAAUAUAUUGAACCGCAUGGUUCAAUAGUGAAAGACGGUUUUGCUGUCACUUAUAGAUGGAUCCGCGCCGCAUUAGCUAGUUGGUAAGGUAACGGCUUACCAAGGCAACGAUGCGUAGCCGACCUGAGAGGGUGAUCGGCCACACUGGAACUGAGACACGGUCCAGACGCCUACGGGAGGCAGCAGUAGGGAAUCUGCCGCAAUGGGCGAAAGCCUGACGGAGCAACGCCGCGUGAGUGAUGAAGGUCUUCGGAUCGUAAAACUCUGUUAUUAGGGAAGAGCAAAUGUGUAAGUAACUAUGCACGUCUUGACGGUACCUAAUCAGAAAGCCACGGCUAACUACGUG
Molecule: ribosomal RNA, 497 nt
Filed under: uncultured bacterium
Lineage: Bacteria
Description: partial 16S ribosomal RNA
Rfam family: Bacterial small subunit ribosomal RNA
Source: RNAcentral